This is a non-coding RNA of Rattus norvegicus (Norway rat), 836 nucleotides long. Lineage: Eukaryota; Metazoa; Chordata; Mammalia; Rodentia; Muridae. The record is from RefSeq and is a predicted model, not a curated record.
CAGUGCCAACACACACACACACACACACACACGUGCAUGUGCAUGUACUUUUUACACAUUAUACACAUUAUAAAGUGUAAUGCUGAUCCCAUUUAUUAGGUGUAUAAAUCCCAAUAGAUUUACUUUUUGUUUUCUUCAGAAAGGCUCAUUAACAUAAGUAUGUUAACAGAUAUCAGAAUAUGUUAACAGAAUUGUGUGUCUUCCAUACCAACAGUUUUUCAAUUGUCUUUGAAUACUACUCAUUUGCCAAAUUCCAGAUAAAUUCCAAAUAGAGUGCAGGGAGAAAAGAGAAUGACUGGUAUGUCCUAUAGGCCUGUGGCUUCAUAAAUGUCACAUGGGUCCCAUUUAGCCUUGUCUACAGAUUAUUGAUGCUCACACUUUUCCCUUUCCCUUGGCUUUUUACCACCAUAGAGUGUCAUCCACGGCAUGUUACUCAUCACAGCUACAGUGAGGUGUUGACCUAAGGCCCAGAAGAGCUUCUAGCUAUUCUCCAAGAUUGGAAAGUCAAGUCAGUUCCUGUGUCGAACAUGAUUAUACAACUUAUGCCUGCUAAGUUCCAACUCCCAAGUUCUUUCCAAAUGAGUGGGCAAGUUGGGAAACUCCAAACAGAUGUUGACCCUUUCAAAUGUAUCUCUCUGCCCUGAGACUUGGAAGAGAUCCAUUCAGGGCUCACAUUCUUUUCCCCAUAGUUCCAAGAUGACAUCACUUUCUACAGGAAAACUUCAGACCCAGCAUCAUCCAUCCUCAAGGAGUCCUUUACUGUCAAUUAUCAAAUAGCUCCAGAUCUAACCAUGACCGCCAUCCACAGUCCUACUGAAUAAAGUCUGAUGGAUGAA